GCUCUUGCCACAUUGUGCUACUGGCAGGGCCCAGCCCAAGCAGUGCCAUGUCGAAAGGGCAU
Molecule: microRNA precursor, 62 nt
Filed under: Gekko japonicus
Lineage: Eukaryota; Metazoa; Chordata; Lepidosauria; Squamata; Gekkonidae
Description: Gja-Mir-130-P1c_pre stem-loop
Rfam family: mir-130 microRNA precursor family
About the family: The hairpin precursors (represented here) are predicted based on base pairing and cross-species conservation -- their extents are not known. In this case the mature sequence is excised from the 3' arm of the hairpin.
Source: RNAcentral